CGCCCCUAGCCGUAUUUCCGCGGGCGCUGAGCACUGGAGAGAGUGUCUUGUGGCUGCGGCCUACCCCUCAACCUCUUCCGCGCGGUUACCUCUGUACCUGCCGCCAUCCGUCCUGGCGCUCCGGAUGAGUCUAUGAGGGGCAGCGCCCGAGGAGUGGUCUUCCCAAGAACCCCCGGUGGCCUCCCAAGGCCGGUGCUGUGUACCUCCUCCCCGACAAAAGGGGAAACUGAGGCCCCAAGGGGCGUGGGAAGAGCCGGCUGGACGUCAGGCCCAGCCGCUGGUGCGUGGUCCGUCCCCUUCGCCGGGUUGGGCCCCUCGGGUUUCGCGUGUCCUCGGGAAAGAGACUGGCGGGUGAGCCGCGCCCUCGGCCUUCGCUGGGCUAAGCCGACCCCAUGCGGACGUCAGACCCCCACAGGUCGGCACAGCCUCUCUGCGGGGAGGCUUAGUGCCCUUUUAGAAACAGCUCGGCAACGCUGUGCCCGGGGCCUUGCACGCGGGCUGAGGGGGGCUAGAGACCUCGCGACUUUCACUCCCCCGACCCCGAUCUUCGACUCCUGACUUUGGAAGCCCCCAAAGCUGCUUUUCGGUUGCCUACAAAGUGUCAGUCAUUGUGCCACGUCCUUGGAACCGUGAACUCAUUUUCUCCUCAAUAACCUUUAAAAAGUAGCUGUAAAACCUCCAUUUUACAGACCAUUUGGCUGAGGUUUAAAUGGAGGACGCUCCCAGGGCCCCAGAGGGGCGAAUUCCAGACUCCUUUGCCAGGACCUUGUACUAAGCCCCUUCCCUACGCUUUUCCCUGCCUAGGCCUCGUGGGCUGUGGGGCUCUCCUGGAGACAGAUGACAGCUCUCCCUUGGAUGGCUUUGCUGGUUCCGCACAAGCCAGCGCCCCCAUUUUUCCUGCAGCACCCUGAUCUGCACUCCCUGAGGGGCUCCCACUGUCCGCGGUGUGAGGAUGUCCCUGGAUAGUCCACUGUGUGCAGAGGCAUGGGAGUUGUCAUGUCGGGAACAUGCUAGACCUCAGUGUCCUUGAGGUAAGAUCUCUGGUUCAUUCUCUGGAAUGUUGGUUCCUUAUAUCUAGUACAGUUCUGCACAUGUUCCGAGGGGCUUUGGGGUUGGUGUAGGGGAGCUGAGAAGUGAGAUGAGAAUGGCACUGUGGAUCCCCAGAUCCGCUGUCCACCCAGCCAACCCAGAUCACCUCUGGCCCUUCAUGUGCCUUCAGGGCUUGCUGCUGGGGGGAAACCUCCAGAGUCCCACUUAGGUAAUAAGAGGUCUCUGCCCUUUCUCCCUGGGCAGCAGGAUGUUGUAAUGGAAAAUGAGUGGACCUAGGCUUCAGAGACUCUUGUCCCCUAGCUUUGAAUCCCCUUCUGCCACUAUCCCAGUCAAGGACUGAUUCAGAACCUAAUUUUCUUCAUUUGGAAAAUAACGUUCUGACAGAGGUGACUUUUGUGGUACUUCAGACCACAUGAUUCCUAUCAUUACCAACCAAUAUUUUCCCAUUGUUUUUGCCCCAUGUGACUUCUCUGUGAUUCCUCCUGGCAAGGAAGUUCUAUGUGGCUUUUACAGGGAAGGAGGGCCACUUUUGGGGUCCUGUGCUGGGCUAGAUUGUUUUCCUGGACUGGACCUAGUCCACAGGCUGCUGGCAUCUGUUUCUCCUCAUGGAUCUCUCUCUGCCCUUGUAUACACCUGCAUUCAAAAAUGAUCACGGGCUGCCUGUGCUCUGGUCAUCGAUAACGCAGGGAGAGGAAUUGCUGAAAGCCGUUUCCCGUGUUUGGAGGGUUCACACCUGUCCCUUUCAAAUGCUGGCGCUUUCACACACUCCUUCUCUCCUGCCAGCACCUUCUGGUCUCAGGAGCAUUGCAGGAUGCUGUGUGAGUGAGUGAUGGGAGACACUUUAGUGUGGCUUUUUUCAGCUUAGCCUUCUGUUAUCAGAGAGCAGUCUCUCUUAGUGUCAAGGUUUGGGUACUAGAUGGUGGAAAAAGCCUAUGUGAAUUAUUUUUAACGAAUAAGUGUGAUGUUGGGUGGCAUACAGUCACUGCCUUAAGAUUUUCAAAGAGAAGCAGCCUUUUGGAGGUGGUGGGCCUUGGCAAGUCUUUCAAGGAGUGGGAUGUGAUGGGCAGUAGAAAGGUAUUCCAGGGAGGGGUAGCAACAUGAGAAGGUCUUUGAGGCUGGGAUGAGCAAGAGUGUCUAGUCCCACUGGGGAGACAGAUGUGCAGGCAAGUAAUGAAAGCAUGGAGGGAUGGCUGCUGGGGUGGUCCUUGGCUCCCAGCACGGUGAGGUGGCACAUCUGUGGGAGGGCCCCUGAGAGGUCUCUUGAGCUGUCUUUCUGCCAGUUGCACAUCUGCUCGGUUGCCUGUCAAGACUCUUAAGACAGUUUUGCUAGACUCUUAAGUUUUUAUUUUGACUAUUCUUUGGGAGCAUUGAGAUUCCUUUUUGAGAUGAGUUUGGUAUGAAAGAAACUGGCAACUCAUACCCGACUGAUUAACUGGGGGCAUUCCCAUUGACAUCAGCUUUAAGAAAGACGACAGAACACUGGAGACCAAGUACUUGCAGCCUCCUGCUCUGUGGCCCUUCCUCACUCCAGGGAUGCCAUCUUGGGUCUGGAGACUGUUAGAGGAAACCCCAAGAGGUGCAGGCACUGAGCCUCUCAGGACAAUGACCUGGGGUCCCAGCUUCCCUGGAGGGGCCUCCUCAUGAUUGGGGGUUGAUCACAGACCAAGAGUGACGAGUGAUGUCACCCUGUGAUGCAUGGCCAGACCUUCUUGCCCCUAUUGUCUCAGCACAACAUUAAUCGACUAUUCCCUCAGCGUGGGUGGGCAGAGGAAAAGCCUUGUGGCUCUGGGGACUUGGGAUCCAGAGUUGAAGACCCUUCAGCUGGCUCUGCCCUGCCAGUGCCACAGAGUGCCAUGGCCCAGGAAGACUGGUUUUCUUCUAUCUAGGCCAGGCCAUCCAGUGGCCAUCCUCCAUGUCCUUCCGCCUCCUCCUGGUGUGACUUCUGAAAACCAAGAAUUUGUUCCUGUUGACUUUUUCUGUGCUGUGGACCAUUGUCCUCUCACCCACUCAAUAAAUCUUGAAACAUGC
Molecule: long non-coding RNA, 3078 nt
Organism: Symphalangus syndactylus (siamang)
Lineage: Eukaryota; Metazoa; Chordata; Mammalia; Primates; Hylobatidae
Source: RefSeq, a predicted model, not a curated record